RNAcentral lists this ribosomal RNA (472 nucleotides) under Euparatettix erythronotus. RNAcentral's name for it is "partial 16S ribosomal RNA". It matches the Rfam family "Bacterial large subunit ribosomal RNA", at positions 1861 to 2589 of the family's 2925-position model. Lineage: Eukaryota; Metazoa; Arthropoda; Insecta; Orthoptera; Tetrigidae. RNAcentral also lists the same sequence under 1 other name. The record is from RNAcentral.
GCUCACUGAAUAAUUAAAGAGCCGCGGUAUUUUGACCGUGCAAAGGUAGCAUAAUCAUUAGUGCAUUAAUUGUGUACUGGAAUGAAAGGUUUGACGAGAUAUACACUGUCUCUAUUUUAUUUUUAGAAUUUUACUUUCUAGUAAAAAGGCUGGGAUUGUUUUUUAGGACGAUAAGACCCUAUAGAGUUUGAUUUUAUAUAUUUUAUUAUUUUGGGUUAACUUAGAUUAUUUAAUUUUAUUGUAAAUUUUGUUGGGGUGAUGUGAAUAAUAAUUAAACUAUUCAUUUGUUUUUAUCAUUGAUUUAUGUUUUUUUUGAUCUUGUAUUAUUGAUAUUAAGAUAAAAUUACCUUAGGGAUAACAGCGCAAUUAUCUUUGAGAGUUCUUAUUGACAAGAUAGAUUGUGACCUCGAUGUUGGAUUAAGAUUACUUUUUGGGUGUAGGUGCUCAAAUUCAAUUGGUCUGUUCGACCAUU